UCAGGUUUUUGAAAUGAAAAGGCACAGGCCAAAUUCUGAAGUAGGUGGAUUUCAUAGAAAGUAAUAAAAUAAAUGUAGAACGCUGUGGCUCCUCAGCAAUAGCCAGUUGGACUUCUUUAGACAAUACUGUUCAGGCUGCCAUGCACAUCACCAUCUGUCACCCGUCGGCCCUUCUGUAGAGCCACGCACAUUGCCCUCGGGUCUUCUGUGGAGGUAAUUGAUUCUAGUUUUGGCUCAUGCAUGUUUUCCCUGGAAGUUCUGCAUAGUUUUGAAGUUCUGUCUUGUCUAGCUUAAAAACCUGUGGGCCUGUUGCUCUGAAUUUUUGCUCCUAUUCUGCAUUUAGUCUGCUUUUUCUUCCACAGGACAGCCCUUAAAGAUUUUUGAUGCCAGUCUUGUUACUCACAGACCAUUUUCUCUAGUGGCUCUCAUCCCUUUCUCACGUGGGGUCCAGAACCUUCCUCGGCCCAGUUAUUGACUGCUUUUCCACAAGAGACAGGGCCGCACUAUUUUGCCCAGACUUCUCUGGAACUCCUGCGCUCAAGGGAUCCUCCUGUCUUGGCCUCCCAAAGCACUGGAAUUGGAGGGGGUCGGCUGGAGAAAGCCAACUGAGAAAGGUUGAAAGGGAGAGCUCAGUGCUGGUCCCUGGAACCUGAAUUUGGGAGCUCAAGACCAGGAAAGAGAAGCUGAGGCUGUGCUGGCCUGAGGUGACAGAGAGAGAAAAAGAGAGAACACGCUUCCUCCUCCCGGCAGCAAGGGAGCGUCCACCAGCUGAGGAGAGCAAACAGCCCUGUUGUCUGGGAAUCAAAAAAGGACUAACAGGAGAGAGAAAGAUGAGAGCCACCUAGAAUGGGGAUUUUCCUGACAGCACCCUCUGAAAGGCAGGGGAGGAACUGUUGGAAGCUCAACAGUCCAACAAAGAGACGCAGAAAGCAGCAGCCCGGAGGAGGCCUCACUGCAUUCAGGUGACUGCCAGUGUGAGUUCCCAAGGGCGGAAUGCCUAGGGAACCUGCACACGCCACCCAGCCCAGAGGGCAGCAACCCUGGCUCCCAGCAGAACCAGCCUUGGGAAGCUCUGCCCUCUUCCCUAUUUCCUCUUUUUCUGGGUCCUGUCCCAGGGAGGGAGAUAGUGAGGGUGAAGAGGUGAGAGGAAGAGCGGGGACAACCUUGCCUCCCCCUUCUCCUACAGCUGGCAUUUAAGUUUGAAGCAGACCUGGGUGGAAGAAGGGAGAAAUUUUCAAAUGAGAUUUGUUCUGAGUUCUGGCAAACAUGCUGGAAUAUGUGCUUUUAAAUGACAGAGACUGCUCUUUCGAAAUAAGGGACCCAGAGAAUAAGUUCACAGGGUGAGCAAAAAUAAAGCAGCGUUGUGAUCGCCCCUUAGUGAAUCCAGCUCA
Non-coding RNA from Chlorocebus sabaeus (green monkey), 1391 nucleotides. NCBI's taxonomy places the organism in Eukaryota, Metazoa, Chordata, Mammalia, Primates, Cercopithecidae. The record is from RefSeq and is a predicted model, not a curated record.